GACAUUGACACCCUUGACAGCUCCGCCCUUCGGAAUACUCUUGAUCGGCUGCAGGAGCCUGGACACCCGCUGUACAUGAUGUAUAAACUCACGAGACAUUUUUCAGCAUUUUGUUUUACACGUGCAAAAGCUACAUCCGCCUACUCCAUUAUUAGCACAGCUGUUACUGCAGAUAGAUUAAGGUUAAAAAUGUAAACAGUCUGCGAAUGCGCGUCGUAGUGGCGCGCAAUUAUAAAACUGUAGGAGGAACUCGGCGGUCAUUAGAAAUUGACCGGAGUUUGGAUGAUAAACGUCGGAUAUUACGAUAAAUACAUCUUAAGAUAAGUACAUCUGCAUCCAUCGAAUUACGCGAGUAAUAUCAUGAUGGCAUUGGGGAAAAUCCUGCUUUUGGUUGCUGUCAUGGAAUGUUGUUCGACAUCAUCGAGUGCCAAUAGUCAUCCACAGGUCCGGACAUGCUCGAGUUCGGCCGAUUGUGAGAAGAACGAGUGCUGUGUUGCACAUCCCCAUCGAUAUUCCACCCCUUACUGCAGCUCCCUGAGACAGAGAGGCGAUCCAUGUGUGCCAACGUCGCGGCGGAUCGAUUCAACUGUGGUACAGCCCGGCUACACUUUCGCCAAUGUCUACUGGAUCCUCUGCCCCUGCGCACCAUCUCUCUCCUGCAACUGGUUCACCGGACUCUGCGGUACAAAGGAGGACUAUCCUUACACUCUCCUCAAUGAAGUAUAACAUAAUGUUCAUCUGCUUUUCCAUUUCCCCACUAUAUUAUUAAUUUUUUUAAACGAAUUUAUUAGAUG
RNA transcript from Diachasma alloeum, 794 nucleotides. RefSeq lists it as uncharacterized. The transcript has 3 exons. The record is from RefSeq and is a predicted model, not a curated record. NCBI's taxonomy places the organism in Eukaryota, Metazoa, Arthropoda, Insecta, Hymenoptera, Braconidae.